UUAGCUCAAAAAAGUGGAAAGAGGCUUCAGCUGAGAAAGAAAGACUCAUAUGGACAUCUAUAAAGAGAAAAAAAAAGUGAUGCACCUGACGCUAUAACAAGGGUUGAUGUAUGGAUCGAAGGUCACAUGAGGAAGGGUGGGAAACCUUUGAACGAUGUGACAGAAGAAGCAGUGAAACAAAUGAAAGAGUACACCAAAACCCAACCUAAAGGCACAAGCUCUCUUCGAGAUGAUGGACUCACUCAUGUACUUGGUCCAGA
Molecule: long non-coding RNA, 260 nt
Organism: Cornus florida
Lineage: Eukaryota; Viridiplantae; Streptophyta; Magnoliopsida; Cornales; Cornaceae
Exons: 3
Source: RefSeq, a predicted model, not a curated record